This 253-nucleotide ribosomal RNA is filed under the name uncultured bacterium. Its description in RNAcentral is "partial 16S ribosomal RNA". It matches the Rfam family "Bacterial small subunit ribosomal RNA", at positions 524 to 776 of the family's 1533-position model. The record is from RNAcentral.
UACGUAGGGUGCGAGCGUUAAUCAGAAUUACUGGGCGUAAAGCGUGCGCAGGCGGUUUUGUAAGCCAGAUGUGAAAUCCCCGGGCUUAACCUGGGAAUGGCAUUUGGGACUGCAAGGCUUGAGUGCGGCAGAGGAGACUGGAAUUCCUGGUGUAGCAGUGAAAUGCGUAGAUAUCAGGAGGAACACCGAUGGCGAAGGCAGGUCUCUGGGCUGACACUGACGCUCAUGCACGAAAGCGUGGGGAGCAAACAGG